CUUACCAAGGCUUAAAUGGGAAUUGAUCGGUUUAAAAAUAGACCUUCCUUCGGGCAAUUUUCAAGGUGCUGCAUGGUUGUCGUCAGCUCGUGCCGUGAGGUGUUAGGUUAAGUCCUGCAACGAGCGCAACCCCUGUCACUAGUUGCUAGCAUUAAGUUGAGGACUCUAGUGAGACUGCCUACGCAAGUAGAGAGGAAGGUGGGGAUGACGUCAAAUCAUCACGGCCCUUACGCCUUGGGCCACACACGUAAUACAAUGGCCGGUACAGAGGGCAGCUACACAGCGAUGUGAUGCAAAUCUCGAAAGCCGGUCUCAGUUCGGAUUGGAGUCUGCAACUCGACUCUAUGAAGCUGGAAUCGCUAGUAAUCGCGCAUCAGCCAUGGCGCGGUGAAUACGUUCCCGGGCCUUGUACACACCGCCCGUCAAGCCAUGGAAGUCUGGGGUACCUGAAGUCGGUGACCGUAAAAGGAGCUGCCUAGGGUAAAACAGGUAACUAGGGCUAAGUCGUAACAA
Molecule: ribosomal RNA, 513 nt
Filed under: Flavobacterium sp. ET-B21
Lineage: Bacteria; Pseudomonadati; Bacteroidota; Flavobacteriia; Flavobacteriales; Flavobacteriaceae
Description: bacterial SSU rRNA
Rfam family: Bacterial small subunit ribosomal RNA
Source: RNAcentral